This is a long non-coding RNA of Amphibalanus amphitrite, 2284 nucleotides long. RefSeq lists it as uncharacterized. The transcript is spliced from 3 exons. The record is from RefSeq and is a predicted model, not a curated record. NCBI's taxonomy places the organism in Eukaryota, Metazoa, Arthropoda, Thecostraca, Balanomorpha, Balanidae.
UCAGGCUGGGUAAUUUUGUGUUUUAGAUCCUUUUCUGAAUUCUGUGGUUCAGUUGAGAUUCAAAUCAAAAUAGGUAAAAGGUAACUAGGCCAAGGCCAAAGGUAGUUGAUGUUUUGAUUGAUUUGUCUUGUAGUUGUGGUAAUUAUCCUACCAAGUAUGCUCUACCCCAACGGCCAGUUGACGAAGCAUGGCAAUUUCGACGAGAUGUUGUCAUUGUGGCUCGUGGGGCUGUUCAGCUGGUGUGGGUUUGGUGCGUUGCGGAUUUGGCUUCGUGCAGCGCAGAUUUAGUGUAGCGUGGUGCGAGUUUGGCCUGGGUGGUGUUUCACUGGUGAUAGUGAUAGCAGCACGCUGCUAUUUCAUGUGUCAAAUUAGGUUUCCAUGGAGACAUCAACAAGCCCCACUCACAUUGCUCCAACACAACCACAAGUGUGACGUCAGCAGAAUAGUAGCGUGCUGCUAUCACCGGUGAAACACCACCCUGGUGACGAACUUGACGGGGUGUCAAUAAAGCUGGAGUCACCUUCAGCGCUAGCCAGUAAAUGUGUAGAUAAAAGGAAGCUGAAAUUUAAAAACAAUCUAACCUUACCUAACCUUACCUAUUGGCUAUUAACAUACUAACCUAUACCCUACACCCUAGUUUAGUAGGUAAGGUUAGGUCAGGUUAGAUAAUGUUUUGUUCUGUUAGACUAGGUGGGUAUUUGAUUAGAUUUAAAAGCGAAUUUUGUGUAAAUGUCUCAAGAACUGGAGAGUCUAGCGACUUCACAAAUCGGUGGCAGCAUGUGAGAUGCCUGCUAUAUGAAUACCAGAAAUCCUUCUCUAUGCCUCAACCCCCUGUUCUGGGCUGGGCGGACACUUUCAUCCCAUGUGGGAAGCUCCCCUAGGAGCAUACACGGAGCCAGGUGCAGUGUCAGGGACAGGGUGCCCUGUUCACUGGAUGGGCUCAGCCCCAAUGACUUGUACCAGGGUGUUUGCCCAUACCAAUAGCUCCCCCUAAUUCCUAUCAUUCCUCCAACUCUGUAGUCUUUUUGGGCCAAAACUUGAAAGGCAACCCAACAAAACUUUAAAUUGAUUUUUAACUUGUGGCAUAGUACUUACUAUUUUGCCAGUCUGACAACAUCCCAUUACUGCCUUGACUGGCUUUCUUCUCUCUCAGGCUGAUCCUGUGUCACAGAGCCACAUAGAUGAGCAGCUACCCAUCGUAGGAUGCACACUCAACCUCCUGCUAGUUUCUGAGCCAAGUCAGCUUGACUGAGGGGUCUGCUAAUGCACAGCCACCUAGCCACUGCUAACAGAUGCUGGCUGGGACAGACGCUCAUCAAAGGCUCGUUGCUGUCGGCGGUUCUGAAGACAGCGGUUCGAUCCAGCUGAAGGACGUCACCUGGCAGGAAGUUGUAGAGUGUGGUGGCCAGUAUCAAGCCACAUUGUCCAGAAACCAUCACAUUAUCUCCAGGUCACUAGUCGCCGGUGCUCGAGCUGACGGCGUCGUUCAAGGGCUCCACGGUGACAAGCGCAGUCACCGCUGCCGCCGCCGCCGAGACCAUCCGACUCCUGGGCCCUGUUUCACGGCAGCGUACUGCAGCGCGCUACGCAGCGCUGCUGUGUUAGUGCGGCGAUUGAGACGAAUUCGGCUCGACGCUCCAGCGUUGCGAAACACCCGUGUCUAUGAAGGAUACGCCGAUACGUCUUCCAGCUUCAAGCCCUUCCCGCCCCCCCCCCCCGCCCCGUCCCAACGGUGUUGGCCGAGAUUGGGGUUGGUAUUUUAACGGGCUCUCCGAUGACGUCCCGCAAUUUGUGUUAUGUAAUUUGACGAUUAUGUCGUAGUCUCAUUCUGUCUCGAUAUGCUAAUAAAUGAUAAAUGGGACGGAGGUUGGAAGUAAGGUGUGAGUGGCUGUAACUGGCGGGUUUUGGCGAGCGCGAUAUUAGUUAUUGUGAGCGCGCCAGCUGCAUUAAAUCGCGCUUCUGGCGAGAAAAUACUUGCUCUGGAACCUAGAAGUUUGUCGUGAAAUCUAUGUGCCUUUGGAUUGAAUUAUUAGAACAUAAUGUACUUUCGGUGUCCAGCACUGCAGCUCUGGAAAUAGAAAUAUGGAUGUUGGCUGUUUGAUGUAGCAAGGGCUAACAAUCUGCGUCAAGAAUCAAAAGCUGUAUGCAAAUUAAAGUGAAUAUAUUUCAAUGAAUUUUUAAAUUUUGUGAUACAAAACAUAAAUGUGUCAACUACUGAUUACACCCGGCUGCAAACACUGUAACGCUUGCAAUGCUGUACGGCAAAUAAAUAAUAUAGAUUCUC